AAAUAUACGCUUUUCUCUAAGACUAAGCCAUGCACNUUUAAGUUCAUACGUAGUAANACGUGAGACUGCGGYCGGCUCAGUAAAUCAGUYAUCAUCUAUUUGAUUGUCUACCCAUUGGAUAACCGUGGGAAAUCUAGAGCUAAUACAUGCAGUCUUGGGAUAGCGUAAGUUGUCUCACGGCAUUUAUUGGACAAAACCYACUACCGACGUAGCAGUUUGCUGUUGCGACGCGUNYGGUGAYUCUAGAUAACUUUGCUGAUCGUAUUGGCCUAGUGCCGGCGACGUUUCAAUUGAAUUUCUGYCCCUAUUAACUUGUUGGUAGRAUAGUUGCCUACCAARGUUCCGACGGGUGACGGGGAAUCAGGGUUCGAUUCCGGAGAGGGAGCCUGAAAAACGGCUACCACAUCCAUGGAAGGCAGCAGGCGCCCAAAUUACCCYAUCCYAGANACCGGGAGGUGGUGACGAGNAAGUACUAAGUGGUGGCCCUUAGGGUCGCUAGCUUGGRAUGGACGUAYUUUAAGUAAUUCGAUGAGUAACAACUGGAGGGCAAGUCUGGUGCCAGCAGCCGCGGUAAUUCCAGCUCCAGUAGCGUAUUUUAAAGUUGCUGCGUUUAAAACGCUCGUAGUUGGAUCACGCAGUGUAAGUUGGUAAGCUGAUUGAAUGGUGCUCCAACUGUUUYGGUGAUAAAUUUCUAUUUAUUACUAAAACAGUGUGCCUUCUUUCAGUUAUUCGCCAAUUUACACUACUUACGCGUAAGGAUGGCAGUUGACCUUUAGUGCGUCGAUUGCCGUGUCUUACGGAGUGUGCCUUGAAUAAAUCAGAGUGCUCAAAGCAGGCUUUUGCUUGAAUGUUAAUAGCAUGGAACGAACAAUUGUGUAGUAGUAUGUUGUGACACAUAGCGAUCGGUCUUUGACUGAAUGCUAUUGCUGUUGCAGCAUACAGCACCAACCACCAAUAACGGAUGUUGGYUCCGUAUUGGGGUGAUYAAUUAAAARGAGCGGNUGGGGGCAUUGGUAUUUGGCCNCGAGAGGUGAAAUUCUUAGACCGGCCAAGGACUAACGAAUGCGAAGGCAUUGUCCUAGACCCCCUCGCUUAAUCAAGAACGAUAGUGGGAGGUUCGAAGACGAACAGAUACCGUCCUAGUUCCCACUGUAAACUAUGCCGACCCAGGAUCAGCAUCGAAGCUCUAUAUAUGCUUGAUGUUGGUCCCCCUGGGAAACCUCAAGUUUUUCGGUUACGGGGAGAGUAUGGUCGCAAGGCUGAAACUUAAAGGAAUUGACGGAAGGGCACCACCAGGAGUGGAGCCUGCGGCUUAAUUUGACUCAACACGGGAAAACUUACCAGGUCCGGACAUCAAUAGGAUAGACAGACUGAUAGAUCUUUCUUGAUAUGAUGGAUAGUGGUGCAUGGCCGUUCUUAGUUCGUGGAGUGAUCUGUCAGGCUAAUCCCGGUAACGAACGAGAUCUUAUUCUCCAUUUGAUGAGCGGAAGCAGAUGGUGGCUUGAAAUUGUCUCGAUGAAAUYCAAGUUAUCAUCGAAGGCAGUGUUUUCGAGUUUAUUGUUGAAAUAUAAAGAGUUGCGAGAACGGUCUUACCCCCAUAUCUGGUAGCAAUUGGUACUAAAUGUAAAUUUGNNGGCAUUCCCUUCCUUAAUAACUGUUCUACUURCCAAAGUGGAGCAGUGUGUCAUGGAGAGACUGUGAGGAAUAUAUCCAAGCUCAAUGAAGCUAGGCCAUAACAGGUCUGUGAUGCCCUAAGAUGUCCUGGGCUGCACGCGCGCUACAAUGAUGGUGACAGCAAGUUUCUAGGUCGAGAGACCCGGGCAAUCUUGUAAUCACCAUCGUGAUGGGGAUUGACCAUUGUAAUUUGGUCAUGAAAUAGGAAUUCCCUUGUAGGCACACUUUAUUAGAGUGUGCCGAACGAGUCCCUGCCCUCUGUA
Molecule: ribosomal RNA, 1937 nt
Filed under: Myxobolus insidiosus
Lineage: Eukaryota; Metazoa; Cnidaria; Myxozoa; Bivalvulida; Myxobolidae
Description: SSU rRNA
Rfam family: Eukaryotic small subunit ribosomal RNA
Source: RNAcentral